GCAAACUUGGUCAUUUAGAGGAAGUAAAAGUCGUAACAAGGUUUCCGUAGGUGAACCUGCGGAAGGAUCAUUAUCGAGUUUUGACUGGGUUGUAGCUGGCCUCCCGAGGCAUGUGCACGCCCUGCUCAUCCACUCUACACCUGUGCACUCACUGUGGGCUUCAGAUUGUCGUGAAGCGGGCUCCUUACCGGGCUUGUGAAGCGGUGUCUGUGCCUGCGUUUACUACAAACUAUUAAAGUAUCAGAAUGUGUAUUGCGAUGUAACGCAUCUAUAUACAACUUUCAGCAACGGAUCUCUUGGCUCUCGCAUCGAUGAAGAACGCAGC
RNAcentral lists this unclassified non-coding RNA (325 nucleotides) under uncultured fungus. RNAcentral describes it as "partial contains small subunit ribosomal RNA, internal transcribed spacer 1, and 5.8S ribosomal RNA". The stretch from base 1 to 73 matches the Rfam family "Eukaryotic small subunit ribosomal RNA", at positions 1759 to 1831 of the family's 1831-position model. The record is from RNAcentral. Lineage: Eukaryota; Fungi.